GAAGGGUUUCGAUCCGUAAACCACUGUCAUUUGUGAACAAUGGUUAUCCAUGAAUAAUGGAUGACUUGAUAGUAAUGAAAGAGGAAGGGACGGCUAACUCUGUGCCAGCAGCCGCGGUAAUACAGAGGUCCCGAGCGUUGUUCGGAUUCACUGGGCGUAAAGGGUGCGUAGGUGGCAUGUUAAGUUUGAUGUGAAAGCUCAGGGCUCAACCCUGAAAUGGCAUUGAAUACUAGCGUGCUGGAGGUUUGGAGGGGGGACUGGAAUUCUCGGUGUAGCAGUGAAAUGCGUAGAUAUCGAGAGGAACACCAGUGGCGAAGGCGAGUCCCUGGACAACACCUGACACUGAGGCACGAAAGCUAGGGGAGCAAACAGGAUUAGAUACCCUGGUAGUCCUAGCCCUAAACGGUGCGCAUUUGCUGUAGGAGGAAUCGACCCCUUCUGUGGCGAAGCUAACGCGAUAAAUGCGCCGCCUGGGGAGUACGGUCGCAAGAUUAAAACUCAAAGAAAUUGACGGGGGCCUGCACAAGCGGUGGAGUAUGUGGCUUAAUUCGAUGCAACGCGAAGAACCUUACCUGGCCUUGACAUGCAAGUGGUAGAACCAUGAAAGUGGGACGACCCCGCAAGGGGAGCUUGCACAGGUGCUGCAUGGCUGUCGUCAGCUCGUGUCGUGAGAUGUUGGGUUAAGUCCCGCAACGAGCGCAACCC
Molecule: ribosomal RNA, 705 nt
Filed under: uncultured Neomoorella sp.
Lineage: Bacteria; Bacillati; Bacillota; Clostridia; Neomoorellales; Neomoorellaceae
Description: bacterial SSU rRNA
Rfam family: Bacterial small subunit ribosomal RNA
Source: RNAcentral